UACAGAGGGUGCGAGCGUUGUUCGGAUUUAUUGGGCGUAAAGAGCUCGUAGGCGGUUCGGUAAGUCGGGUGUGAAAUCUCGGAGCUUAACUCCGAAACUGCAUUCGAUACUGCCGUGCUUGAGGACUGGAGAGGAGACUGGAAUUUACGGUGUAGCGGUGAAAUGCGUAGAUAUCGUAAGGAAGACCAGUGGCGAAGGCGGGUCUCUGGACAGUUCCUGACGCUGAGGCACGAAGGUCAGGGGAGCAAACGGG
This 253-nucleotide ribosomal RNA is filed under the name uncultured prokaryote. Its description in RNAcentral is "partial 16S ribosomal RNA". It matches the Rfam family "Bacterial small subunit ribosomal RNA", at positions 524 to 776 of the family's 1533-position model. The record is from RNAcentral.